RNAcentral lists this ribosomal RNA (354 nucleotides) under Triticum aestivum (bread wheat). RNAcentral describes it as "partial small subunit ribosomal RNA". Lineage: Eukaryota; Viridiplantae; Streptophyta; Magnoliopsida; Poales; Poaceae. The record is from RNAcentral.
AUGGCGCUCGAACGAGACCAAAGAGCGCGGCACCCUCUCAUGCAGCGGUGGCCGGAGGCGUGGAGCAGCUUUCACGAGGUCAGUGACGUGCUUUGGCCCACCACCAAGGGUCUCUGCGCGGCGGAGAUCGAGCUCCACGCCGUAAAGAAGGCGGUGGACGGCGAUGAAGAUGGCGCCGCCGAGCAGCUCAAGGCGGACAAGGAGGGUUACGAGCUCAGGGCCCAACAACAGCCUGCGGCCGAGCUGCCCAGGCCGAAACAAUUUCUGUAUCACGAGUUCGAUCGAUCGCACGAACACCCUGACUCCCUGUCUGUUUCGUUUCUCCCAGGCGGCAAGCGCAGCCUAACAGGCUAA